CCAAUAGCGUAUAUUAAAGUUGUUGCAGUUAAAAAGCUCGUAGUUGAAUUUCGGGGUCAGCAAGUUGGUCGUGCCACUGGUAUGUACUGGCUUUGCUGAUUCCUCCUUCUUGUAGAACCGUAAUGCCAUUAAUUUGGUGUUGCGGGGAAACAGGACUGUUACUUUGAAAAAAUUAGAGUGUUUAAAGCAGGCUAACGCUUGAAUACAUUAGCAUGGAAUAAUGAAAUAGGACGAGCGAUCCUAUUUUGUUGGUUUCUAGGAUUGACGUAAUGAUUAGUAGGGAUAGGUGGGGGCAUUAGUAUUCAAUUGUCAGAGGUGAAAUUCUUGGAUUUAUUGAAGACUAACUACUGCGAAAGCAUUUGCCAAGGAUGUUUUCAUUAAUCAAGAACGAAAGUUAGGGGAUCGAAGACGAUCAGAUACCGUCGUAGUCUUAACCAUAAACUAUGCCGACUAGGGAUCGGAUGAUGUUAAUUUUAUAAUGACUCAUUCGGCGCCUUACG
Molecule: ribosomal RNA, 500 nt
Filed under: uncultured Glomeromycotina
Lineage: Eukaryota; Fungi; Glomeromycota
Description: partial small subunit ribosomal RNA
Rfam family: Eukaryotic small subunit ribosomal RNA
Source: RNAcentral